Molecule: ribosomal RNA, 797 nt
Filed under: uncultured bacterium
Lineage: Bacteria
Description: bacterial SSU rRNA
Rfam family: Bacterial small subunit ribosomal RNA
Source: RNAcentral
UUGCUUGCAAUCCUGAGUAGAGUGGCGCACGGGUGAGUAACACGUAGAUAAUCUACCUUCAAGCCCGGGAUAACUAUUCGAAAGGAUGGCUAAUACCGGAUGAAGUGUUUUGACCCAAGUUGAAACAUGAAAGAUUGCCUAUCCUUGGAAGCAAUUGUUUGGAGAUGAGUUUGCGGACCAUUAGCUUGUUGGUGGGGUAAAGGCCUACCAAGGCAACGAUGGUUAGCUGGUCUGAGAGGAUGAUCAGCCACACUGGAACUGGUACACGGUCCAGACUCCUACGGGAGGCAGCAGUGAGGAAUUUUGCGCAAUGGGGGCAACCCUGACGCAGCAACGCCGCGUGAGUGAAGAAGGCCUUUGGGUCGUAAAGCUCUGUCGACAGGGAAGAAAUUACAAUCAUCCAAUAGGUGUUUGUAUUGACGGUACCUGUAGAGGAAGCACCGGCUAACUCCGUGCCAGCAGCCGCGGUAAUACGGGGGGUGCAAGCGUUAUUCGGAAUUAUUGGGCGUAAAGGGCGCGUAGGCGGUUUUGUCGGUCAGAUGUGAAAGCCCGGGGCUCAACCCUGGAAGUGCAUUUGAAACAGCAAGACUUGAGUACGGGAGAGGAAAGCGGAAUUCCUGGUGUAGAGGUGAAAUUCGUAGAUAUCAGGAGGAACACCGAUGGCGAAGGCAGCUUUCUGGACCGAUACUGACGCUGAGGCGCGAAGGUGUGGGUAGCGAACGGGAUUAGAUACCCCGGUAGUCCACACAGUAAACGAUGUUCACUAGGUGUAUCGGGUAUUAAAAUCUGAUGUGCCC